GCUCAUUAAAUCAGUUAUCGUAUAUUUGAUAGUACCUACUACAUGGAUAACCGUGGUAAUUCUAGAGCUAAUACAUGCUUAAAAUCCCGACUUCGGAAGGGAUGUAUUUAUUAGAUUAAAAACCAAUGCCCUUCGGGGCUCACUGGUGAUUCAUAAUAACUUCUCGAAUCGCAUGGCCUUGUGCCGGCGAUGGUUCAUUCAAAUUUCUGCCCUAUCAACUUUCGACGGCUGGGUAUUGGCCAGCCGUGGUUACAACGGGUAACGGAGGGUUAGGGCUUGACCCCGGAGAAGGAGCCUGAGAAACGGCUACUACAUCCAAGGAAGGCAGCAGGCGCGCAAAUUACCCAAUCCCGAUACGGGGAGGUAGUGACAAUAAAUACUGAUACAGGGCUCUUUUGGGUCUUGUAAUUGGAAUGAGUACAAUUUAAAUCCCUUAACGAGGAACAAUUGGAGGGCAAGUCUGGUGCCAGCAGCCGCGGUAAUUCCAGCUCCAAUAGCGUAUAUUAAAGUUGUUGCAGUUAAAAAGCUCGUAGUUGAACCUUGGGCCUGGCUGGCCGGUCUGCCUCACCGCAUGCACUGGUCCGGCCGGGUCUUUCCCUCUGGGGAUCCGCAUGCCCUUCAUUGGGUGUGUCGGGGAACCAGGACUUUUACUGUGAAAAAAUUAGAGUGUUCAAAGCAGGCCUAUGCUCGAAUACAUUAGCAUGGAAUAAUAGAAUAGGACGUGUGGUUCUAUUUUGUUGGUUUCUAGGACCGCCGUAAUGAUUAAUAGGGACAGUCGGGGGCAUCAGUAUUCAAUCGUCAGAGGUGAAAUUCUUGGAUCGAUUGAAGACUAACUACUGCGAAAGCAUUUGCCAAGGAUGUUUUCAUUAAUCAGGAACGAAAGUUAGGGGAUCGAAAACGAUCAGAUACCGUUGUAGUCUUAACCAUAAACUAUGCCGACUAGGGAUCGGACGAUGUUAUUUCUUGACUCGUUCGGCACCUUACACGAAAGUAAAGUUUUUGG
RNAcentral lists this ribosomal RNA (1003 nucleotides) under Sirococcus conigenus. Its description in RNAcentral is "SSU rRNA". It matches the Rfam family "Eukaryotic small subunit ribosomal RNA", at positions 96 to 1110 of the family's 1831-position model. The record is from RNAcentral. Lineage: Eukaryota; Fungi; Ascomycota; Sordariomycetes; Diaporthales.